This is a non-coding RNA of Ictidomys tridecemlineatus (thirteen-lined ground squirrel), 5378 nucleotides long. Lineage: Eukaryota; Metazoa; Chordata; Mammalia; Rodentia; Sciuridae. The record is from RefSeq and is a predicted model, not a curated record.
UUGUUAGACAAGUUCAUUUACACCUCAUUCUUCUUUGGCCAUCUCCUUUCCAAAGAAUGAAAAAAUAAUAUAGAUACUUUCUCAGCUUUCUUUGUAGCAAGCACCGGGACUCACUAUUGGCCAAUGAAGUAUAUCCUUUCUUGAUACAAAGACAGAGGGUGCCAGCAAUUUUCUUUCCUUUUGCCUUGAACACAGAUGUGAGAUGUGAUGGUUAGAGCUGAAGUAGACAUUUUUUUUCAAACAUUGAGGCAAUAAGCCAUCAUGUUCAGAAUGGCAGAGCAAAAAGAUAAAAGAGCGGUUCUCAGACUAUCUGCCUUCAAACAUAUUGUCACCUGAGAAAUGCUAGCUUCUACUUCUUAAGUUACUAUUAUUCAAGUCUUGUCAUUUGAAACCACAAGUUUUCCCAACUGCGAUAUAGACACAGAUAUGGUUAGAGAGUAAGAGAAAGCACACCACUCCAAAACCAUUCUGAUUUUUCAUAAAAGAAAAGACAGCUUACUUGUUCCACAUAGUGAGAAUCUGUAGACUAAAUUGUCAUCUGAACCCAAAUUUACAUGCAUAGUAUCUUUAGGUUACUCCUUUGAGAGUUUAUGCAUUAAUAGGUGGGCAGACACAAAAGAUUUCAUGUCAACUCAUUUGUCCUGAAGACAUAUUUUUACUGUCUGUGAAUAAUGAUACCUAAAUCUAGAAAUCAUCUUGAGUAAGAUGAGGUUAAAAUACAAGAGCAAAGCAGUUGACAGAACCUCAGAUUAUUUGGAGGAUAAAUAGCUUUGGAUUCCAAAAAAAGCACUCUCAACUUCUAGAGAAUUAGAAAUGUAUUCUUGUUUUCAUUGCUGGUGCUGUCAAAACCUCAAUAAUUGGAUGAUGUAAACAACUCCCAGGACUAUUUUUAUCUCAGCUGCUCCCAGUUCAGCCAGGCUGAGGGACCCACAUGUCCAUCCAGGGCUCAGUUCUCCCUCUCUCCACUUGUUCCCUUGAUCAUGGUGUGCUUUCUCUUACUCACAGUGUCCUGGCUCUGAAUUUUUUGAUCCAUUUCUCAACUGACAUCCGCCUCUGCCCUGCUCCUCUGACUGUUGAGAACAUCCUGAUUCACCUUCUGGUAUUUUGGACCUCAGCUCUCUUAUAAUUGAUGAACUCAGUUUCUCUUCCAUUGUGACAGUCUCUUAGAACUCCAAAUUACAGGCCCAGCUCAGCUGGACUCAGAGAAGGAGGAACUCUAGUCUCCUCUUGCCCCAUUCUCUCUCCAUCCCCCUCACGCAGUGAGGCCAGAGGUAAAAGGACCAAAAGUGAGAGCUGUGUGGCUUUUCUCCUGGUCAUAAGUCACCUCUGGUUUCAUACUUUAGCGAGAUUCCUGAAGUAACCAUGCAGCAACUUCUACCAUGAUCUAUAUCAUGGGAUGUCUUUAAGGUUCAGGAUUCAAUUGAGUGAAAGGAGGUUUAGGAGAUCCUUCUGCAGGAAUUGAACAUGUGGGGACUUUUGUGUGCUCCCAAGUACUUUAACCAACUGCAAAUAUGUUCAAACUGUGGAGUAAUGAGGGCAGUGUCUACCUACUGUAAUUAUAUCCAUUGGAUACAAAUACUUGUCAUUCAGUGGGUGACUGAGCAGGUCUCUGCGCAUCCUUACAAGCAGCAUAGAUGAGCAGGGAAUGUCAUACACACAGGAUCACCGUUCACAGCGCUCACCAUCACCCUUUCUUCUCUGAACCCUCACUUUGUUCAUGUUCACCUCAUAUUCCAGGGCAGGUGGAAUUCUACGCCGGUGCAUCUUGAUUGAUCUAUAUCUCUGGUGACUCUAUUAUCUGGAGAGGUGAUUUACCAAGGGAUGGGUGCAUUACACUCUGCUUACCAGUGAGGUAAAGUCUGGAACUCAUGGAAAAGUUUUUCAUGCCAUUAAGAAAAUGGAAAUAAGAAAAAUACUUAUAGCCUUGUCUCUGAACAUCAAUGUGUGAGAAUGUGAUACUGGGAACAGCCAUCUUGUGACCCUGCAGAAGAAAAAGCCAAGGUUAUUGCAGAACAGAUGACAUCACUGAGUGACUCUCUGAACUUCCCCAGAAUUACCCCCAGCACGCAGGCUUCCUGUUAGCUAUCCUCCACUGAGGCUCCAGAGUCGCAGACAGCUGCUUGCACGCCAAUCCACCAAGAGGAAGAAGGAAGUGAUAAAGAAAAGUGCACCCCAUCCUUGGAAGAAUAUUUACUAGAAGUUGUGCUAAAAUGUAGUCACAUGACUGAACCUAGCUGCAAGGGAAACUGGGAAAUAAGUCUUCAUUCUGGUUUAUCGCUAAAAGUGAUCUGUUCUAUUAAUAAGGAAAAAGGAGAACACCAAUAUUUGGGCAUAUUAAAUUUUGCAUACUAAAUACUAAACAAAGGCAUAAAAAUAAUGAUAUUAAAGUUUAUAAAUGCAAUAAAAUAUAUUUUUAUUCAUGUAUGACUUCAGGGCAUUUUGACCUGUUCAAUAUCUAUGACUUGAAAAUUUUUAUUGAAGAUUUGUAUCUUAAUACUGCUAAGUGUGUUCUAAGCGUUUUAUGAACUUAUAAACAAAAAACAUACUCAUGCCUUUUGAAUAAAAAUUAAAUAAAUAUAUAUUAAUUUAUCUUCUGAAUAUUAGCAUCCUUUUAUGGGCCCAAGCUUUUUGAAAAAAAAAUUAGUGGAUAUAGUGUUAAUGACUACAACAUAUUACAUUUAUGUUUGUAUCCCUAUGUUUACAACCAACAUUGUAUAAAAUGAAAGUGAUGUGGUGGUGGUGUUUUUCAAUUCACAAAGAUACUUAACAAUUAUAUCAACAUUAUGGUUUUUAUUUUCUAUCCUACAGUGAUUUGAAAGUAAAAGCUUUUUAUUAUACUGAGCCUGCUUCAGAGAGACAUUUUAAGUCUCCUGGUCUCUCUUCGGAGAGACAUUUUAAGUCACACAUUUCUGAUUUUCAGUAGCUCUUGAGUCUAAUAAUAUUUGCCAUAAAACAUUUGGUAUAUUUUUACUUUUUUUCUUAAUUAGUAUUAAUCAGCUUGGAAUAAUAGAUCCAUUUUUUUAUUGCUUGAUUAAUUUCAUAAUAUGCAAUUAUUUUUAAAAAGCUGCUUUGACUGAUGCAUUUAUAUUUCUAAUUGACAUUUACAAGUAUGUAUGUCAUCUGUAGAUUUAUUGAUUUUGAUAUUUACCUCAGGUACUUUCAUAGAGUUUUACCUUUCUUGAGUUGUUUAUGGUUUAAAUUUCCACCUUCAUCAAUUGAAGUAUGUCAUUGUUUUGUUUUAUUUUAUUAAAGGAAAGUUCCAUUUUCUGACUAUCCACAUUUUAAGAUUUUUUUCCAUUGCCUCAUGCAUACUACUGCUCAAUUGGGGUACAAUAUUCUUGUAAUAUAUCCCAGAUACACUACUGAGAAAACUUAAAUGAAUCAACUAUUAUUAGAACCAAUACAGAAGUUUUGCAAUGUGGUUGCUUCUGAUAAAAGUAUGCAUAGCUGGCUUUCUCUGAAACCACAGGAACUCUUGUUGAGAAGUAUCAAUUGGAGGUGCCAUGAAUACAAAAUAUUUUUAAUUCUUUCUUCUAAAUAUCACCUCAAAAUUUGCCUUCCACUAUGCUAUAGUGAAUUUUCCAUCUGUAUUUUUUACAACAGUUGAGCAAAUCACGCAAUAUUUGCUUUAUUAAAAAUGUAUUUUGAUUAACAAUUCACUCACAAAUUUGAUUUAAACAACAACUUCCCUCUUCUUUCCAACACAGUUGAAUCAAUGGUGCUGAAGAUCUGAAGUGUGGAGUAAAUCCUGAUUAAAAAGGUAUCACUGACUACUAUGAGAAGAACAGUGUGGGUGAGUCUGGAGUAGAAGAAGGAAUACCAGUUAAAAGAUGGCAGUGAUCCAAGAAAGAGAUGCUGGUGGCCUGGACCAGGAUGGUACCAAGAAAGAUGAUGAUCAGGUGUGUUUCCAUCUGUCCACAUCUUAUGGUCUGCAGGAAUUCACUACUCAGAUCUUCAUCUGACAUGUGAGGCUCCUCUGAGAACGGGGUAGUCCAUGCUGUGCCAUGAGGAUUUCUCAAGAUCUUUCCUGAGCAACUGAUCCUUACUAGGGAGAACAAGAGCCAUCCUCUAAGGAUCCAACCAUCCCACCAAUUCAGCUAAGUAACUUCAACUCUUCUAUCUUCAAAAGGGAAGAUUUGUAAUGUCUGGAUCCUGGCAUCUACUUUAAAGGGACAUGGAGAGGUAUAAAAGUGGUAACAUAUGUGAAUUAUUUAGCUCUGAAUUUGAAAAGCAUAAAGGGAACAAUAGUGUGUUUACUGCCAUAUUCCACAAAGUCUGGAACAUCAAAAGGCCAAGUACUACAACUGGUUGUCCAUUCAGGAAGGUAUUGUUCUCUGUCUGAUUGAAAUAAGAAUAACAGUGGUAUCUCCUCUAGAGCCACAUGAAAAAAGUUGGGUUUCUGAGCUCAUCAAUGCCAUGGGUAAAGGAUACAGUCUUCUUUUGUAAUGGAAAUUGCUGAAGUAAUGUGGUAAAACACGCAGACAGUCUCCAAGAAGGCACCCACUGGGUUAGAGUGGGGUUAGGUGUAUGCAAUCUUUGAAUGUGGGUUUCCUCAAAUUCCUGGGAUUCUACAUUGUAGUGAAUAUUUUCUGUCCCAUAAAAGGUCCUAGGGGAAACCUUGAUCAUUCCCUGCAUCCAUACCACCAUUACAGUCAUUUUGCUUUGUGUUUUUUUUUUUUUCUUUUUUUUGGUCCAGAGCUUUAACCCAGGGGCACUUAACCACUGAGCCACAUCCCCAGCCUUUUUCAUAUUUUAUUUAGGGACAGGGUCUCCCUGAGAUGCUUAGGGCCUCUCUAAGUUGCUGAAACUUCUUUGAACUUUGGACUUGUGAUCCUCCUGUGUUAACUCUUUGCCUCUCAAUGACACAGUUUGCUUUGCAUAAUAUCAUUCCAUCAUACAGCAUCUUAAUCUGACCCACAAGUAAUUACAUUUCUAAAAUUUUUUCUCACCCAGUUUGGAAAAACUAACUCCUGGAAACACUGAUUAAUUUGUUCUCUCUGAGACCAUGUAGCCCUCCUGCUUGGAUAAACACUGAGAAAAGCUAGAGAGUGGCAGGAGUUAUGGUAUGCGCUUCAAUAUUGAAGACAUUGUAUUGCAUUAAGGCCGUUUUCUAUAUAAUGUGAGUGUGUGUUUAGUAAAGGCCUUUUUUGCUAGAAUUAUGGUUUGUAUUUUGUCUAAGUCAAUUGAGAUGUUAUGUAUAAGAUCAAUCUUUGAAAUUUUUACUGCCUAAGGUGUACCCAGUGAGGAAUUGUAACUCCUCUGCAUGUCCUCACCACUUUUAUUCUUUAUUGUUUAUUUUAUUUGGAAGAAUUUACUACCUGGGCAUGGUGGUCACAUCUGUAAUCCCAGCAGCUCUGCAGGCUGAGGCAGGAGAAUCA